This 208-nucleotide ribosomal RNA is filed under the name uncultured delta proteobacterium. RNAcentral's name for it is "partial 16S ribosomal RNA". It matches the Rfam family "Bacterial small subunit ribosomal RNA", at positions 568 to 775 of the family's 1533-position model. Lineage: Bacteria; Deltaproteobacteria. The record is from RNAcentral.
CGUGUAGGCGGCCUGAUGUGUCAGAUGUGAAAGCCCUGGGCUUAACCCAGGAAGUGCAUUUGAAACUGUCAGGCUUGAGUAGGGGAGAGGGAAGUGGAAUUCCUGGUGUAGAGGUGAAAUUCGUAGAUAUCAGGAGGAACACCGGUGGCGAAGGCGACUUCCUGGCCCUAUACUGACGCUGAGACGCGAGAGCGUGGGUAGCAAACAG